This 77-nucleotide transfer RNA is filed under the name Slackia exigua. RNAcentral's name for it is "tRNA-Glu(ctc)". It matches the Rfam family "tRNA". From Rfam's summary of the family: Transfer RNA (tRNA) molecules are approximately 80 nucleotides in length. Their secondary structure includes four short double-helical elements and three loops (D, anti-codon, and T loops). RNAcentral also lists the same sequence under 4 other names. Lineage: Bacteria; Bacillati; Actinomycetota; Coriobacteriia; Eggerthellales; Eggerthellaceae. The record is from RNAcentral.
GGCCUGGUCGUCUAGCGGUUUAGGACGCCGCCCUCUCAAGGCGGAGAUCGGGAGUUCGAAUCUCCUCCAGGCUACCA